CCUACGGGAGGCAGCAGUGGGGAAUCUUGCACAAUGGAGGAAACUCUGAUGCAGCGAUGCCGCGUGAGUGAAGAAGGCCUUUGGGUUGUAAAGCUCUUUUGUAGGGGAAGAUAAUGACUGUACCCUAAGAAUAAGGUCCGGCUAACUUCGUGCCAGCAGCCGCGGUAAUACGAAGGGACCUAGCGUAGUUCGGAAUUACUGGGCGUAAAGCGCGCGUAGGCCGUUGAGUUAGUUAAUUGUGAAAUCCCAAAGCUUAACUUUGGAACUGCAAUUAAAACUGCUCGACUAGAGUUUGAUAGAGGAAAGCGGAAUACAUAGUGUAGAGGUGAAAUUCGUAGAUAUUAUGUAGAACACCAGUUGCGAAGGCGGCUUUCUGGAUCAACACUGACGCUGAGGCGCGAAAGUAUGGGUAGCAAAGAGGAUUAGAUACCCUCGUAGUCCAUACCAUAAACGAUGAUUGCUAGAUGUUGGAAAUUUAUUUUCAGUAUCGCAGCUAACGCAUUAAGCAAUCCGCCUGGGGAUACGACCGCAAGGUUAAAACUCAAAUAAUUGACGG
This 556-nucleotide ribosomal RNA is filed under the name uncultured bacterium. RNAcentral describes it as "bacterial SSU rRNA". It matches the Rfam family "Bacterial small subunit ribosomal RNA", at positions 338 to 916 of the family's 1533-position model. The record is from RNAcentral.